UACGGAGGGUGCAAGCAUUAAUCGGAUUUAUUGGGCGUAAAGGGCGCGUAGGCGGGCGUACAAGUCAGAUGUGAAAUCCCGGGGCUCAACCCCGGAACUGCAUUUGAAACUGUACGUCUAGAGGGUAGGCGGAGAAAACGGAAUUCCACAAGUAGCGGUGAAAUGCGUAGAUAUGUGGAAGAACACCGGUGGCGAAGGCGGUUUUCUAGCUUAUUCCUGACGCUAAAGCGCGAAAGCAAGGGGAUCAAACAGG
Molecule: ribosomal RNA, 253 nt
Filed under: uncultured bacterium
Lineage: Bacteria
Description: partial 16S ribosomal RNA
Rfam family: Bacterial small subunit ribosomal RNA
Source: RNAcentral